Molecule: ribosomal RNA, 87 nt
Filed under: Ceratobasidium theobromae
Lineage: Eukaryota; Fungi; Basidiomycota; Agaricomycetes; Cantharellales; Ceratobasidiaceae
Description: partial 28S ribosomal RNA
Rfam family: Eukaryotic large subunit ribosomal RNA
Source: RNAcentral
AGCAUAUCAAUAAGCGGAGGAAAAGAAACUAACAAGGAUUCCCCUAGUAACGGCGAGUGAAGCGGGAAGAGCUCAAAUUUAAAAUCG